GAUGAACGCUGGCGGCGUGCCUAAUACAUGCAAGUCGAGCGAACAGAUAAGGAGCUUGCUCCUUUGACGUUAGCGGCGGACGGGUGAGUAACACGUGGGUAACCUACCUAUAAGACUGGGAUAACUUCGGGAAACCGGAGCUAAUACCGGAUAACAUUUGGAACCGCAUAGUUCUAAAGUGAAAGAUGGUUUUGCUAUCACUUAUAGAUGGACCCGCGCCGUAUUAGCUAGUUGGUAAGGUAACGGCUUACCAAGGCAACGAUACGUAGCCGACCUGAGAGGGUGAUCGGCCACACUGGAACUGAGACACGGUCCAGACUCCUACGGGAGGCAGCAGUAGGGAAUCUUCCGCAAAGGGCGAAAGCCUGACGGAGCAACGCCGCGUGAGUGAUGAAGGGUUUCGGCUCGUAAAACUCUGUUAUUAGGGAAGAACAAAUGUGUAAGUAACUGUGCACGUCUUGACGGUACCUAAUCAGAAAGCCACGGCUAACUACGUG
RNAcentral lists this ribosomal RNA (497 nucleotides) under uncultured bacterium. RNAcentral's name for it is "partial 16S ribosomal RNA". It matches the Rfam family "Bacterial small subunit ribosomal RNA", at positions 28 to 507 of the family's 1533-position model. The record is from RNAcentral.